AUUGAACGCUGGCGGCAGGCUUAACACAUGCAAGUCGAGCGGAGCGAGGGUGCUUGCACCUUAGCUUAGCGGCGGACGGGUGAGUAAUGCUUAGGAAUCUGCCUAUUAGUGGGGGACAACAUUCCGAAAGGGAUGCUAAUACCGCAUACGCCCUACGGGGGAAAGCAGGGGAUCUUCGGACCUUGCGCUAAUAGAUGAGCCUAAGUCGGAUUAGCUAGUUGGUGGGGUAAAGGCCUACCAAGGCGACGAUCUGUAGCGGGUCUGAGAGGAUGAUCCGCCACACUGGGACUGAGACACGGCCCAGACUCCUACGGGAGGCAGCAGUGGGGAAUAUUGGACAAUGGGGGGAACCCUGAUCCAGCCAUGCCGCGUGUGUGAAGAAGGCCUUUUGGUUGUAAAGCACUUUAAGCGAGGAGGAGGCGCUCUAGGCUAAUACCCUAGAUGCGUGGACGUUACUCGCAGAAUAAGCACCGGCUAACUCUGUGCCAGCAGCCGCGGUAAUACAGAGGGUGCGAGCGUUAAUCGGAUUUACUGGGCGUAAAGCGCGCGUAGGUGGCUAAUUAAGUCAAAUGUGAAAUCCCCGAGCUUAACUUGGGAAUUGCAUUCGAUACUGGUUAGCUAGAGUAUGGGAGAGGAUGGUAGAAUUCCAGGUGUAGCGGUGAAAUGCGUAGAGAUCUGGAGGAAUACCGAUGGCGAAGGCAGCCAUCUGGCCUAAUACUGACACUGAGGUGCGAAAGCAUGGGGAGCAAACAGGAUUAGAUACCCUGGUAGUCCAUGCCGUAAACGAUGUCUACUAGCCGUUGGGGCCUUUGAGGCUUUAGUGGCGCAGCUAACGCGAUAAGUAGACCGCCUGGGGAGUACGGUCGCAAGACUAAAACUCAAAUGAAUUGACGGGGGCCCGCACAAGCGGUGGAGUAUGUGGUUUAAUUCGAUGCAACGCGAAGAACCUUACCUGGCCUUGACAUGCUGAGAACUUUCCAGAGAUGGAUUGGUGCCUUCGGGAACUCAGACACAGGUGCUGCAUGGCUGUCGCCAGCUCGUGUCGUGAGAUGUUGGGUUAAGUCCCGCAACGAGCGCAACCCUUGUCCUUAGUUGCCAGCACAUAAUGGUGGGAACUCUAAGGAGACCGCCGGUGACAAACCGGAGGAAGGUGGGGAUGACGUCAAGUCAUCAUGGCCCUUACGGCCAGGGCUACACACGUACUACAAUGGUGGGGACAGAGGGCUGCAAACCGGCGACGGUAAGCCAAUCCCAGAAACCCCAUCUCAGUCCGGAUUGGAGUCUGCAACUCGACUCCAUGAAGUCGGAAUCGCUAGUAAUCGCAGAUCAGCACUGCUGCGGUGAAUACGUUCCCGGGCCUUGUACACACCGCCCGUCACACCAUGAGAGUCUGUAACACCCAAAGCCGGUGGGAUAACCUUUAUAGGAGUCAGCCGUCUAAGGUAGGACAGAUGAUUAGGGUG
RNAcentral lists this ribosomal RNA (1463 nucleotides) under uncultured bacterium. RNAcentral describes it as "bacterial SSU rRNA". It matches the Rfam family "Bacterial small subunit ribosomal RNA". The record is from RNAcentral.